CCUACGGGCGGCAGCAGUGGGGAAUAUUGCACAAUGGGGGAAACCCUGAUGCAGCGACGCCGCGUGAGUGAAGAAGGAUUGCGGGAGGUAAAGCUCUAACAGCAGGGAAGAAGAAAGACGGUACCUGACGAAGAAGCCCAGGCUAACUACGUGCCAGCAGACGCGGGAAGACGGAGGGGGCAAGCGUUAGCCGGAUUUACGGGGUGUAAAGGGAGCGUAGACGGCUGUGCAAGUCUGAAGGGAAAGCCCAGGGCUCAACCCGGGGACUGCUUUGGAAACUGUGGAGCUAGAGUGCUGGAGAGUUCAGUGGCCUUCCUCGUGUCGCGGUGACAUGCGUCGCUCUUAGUCGGCACCCCAGUGGCGACGGCGGCUUACUGGACCGUAACUGCCGUUGCGGCUCGACAGCGUGGGGAGCAAACAGGAUUAGCUCCCCGUGUAGUC
RNAcentral lists this ribosomal RNA (441 nucleotides) under uncultured bacterium. Its description in RNAcentral is "partial 16S ribosomal RNA". It matches the Rfam family "Bacterial small subunit ribosomal RNA", at positions 338 to 795 of the family's 1533-position model. The record is from RNAcentral.